RNAcentral lists this ribosomal RNA (465 nucleotides) under uncultured bacterium. RNAcentral describes it as "partial 16S ribosomal RNA". It matches the Rfam family "Bacterial small subunit ribosomal RNA", at positions 28 to 507 of the family's 1533-position model. The record is from RNAcentral.
GACGAACGCUGGCGGCGUGCUUAACACAUGCAAGUCGAACGGAAAGGCCCUGCUUGCCGGGUACUCGAGUGGCGAACGGGUGAGUAACACGUGGGUGAUCUGCCCUGCACUUCGGGAUAAGCUUGGGAAACUGGGUCUAAUACCGGAUAGGAACCAUCUUUAGUGUGGUGGUUGGAAAGUUUUUUCGGUGUAGGAUGAGCUCGCGGCCUAUCAGCUUGUUGGUGGGGUAAUGGCCUACCAAGGCGGCGACGGGUAGCCGGCCUGAGAGGGUGUACGGCCACAUUGGGACUGAGAUACGGCCCAGACUCCUACGGGAGGCAGCAGUGGGGAAGAUUGCACAAUGGGCGCAAGCCUGAUGCAGCGACGCCGCGUGGGGGAUGAAGGCCUUCGGGUUGUAAACUCCUUUCGCUAGGGACGAAGCUUUUUGUGACGGUACCUAGAGAAGAAGCACCGGCUAACUACGUG